Molecule: ribosomal RNA, 1804 nt
Filed under: Escherichia coli
Lineage: Bacteria; Pseudomonadati; Pseudomonadota; Gammaproteobacteria; Enterobacterales; Enterobacteriaceae
Description: partial 23S ribosomal RNA
Rfam family: Bacterial large subunit ribosomal RNA
Source: RNAcentral
AGAGGCGAUGAAGGACGUGCUAAUCUGCGAUAAGCGUCGGUAAGGUGAUAUGAACCGUUAUAACCGGCGAUUUCCGAAUGGGGAAACCCAGUGUGAUUCGUCACACUAUCAUUAACUGAAUCCAUAGGUUAAUGAGGCGAACCGGGGGAACUGAAACAUCUAAGUACCCCGAGGAAAAGAAAUCAACCGAGAUUCCCCCAGUAGCGGCGAGCGAACGGGGAGCAGCCCAGAGCCUGAAUCAGUGUGUGUGUUAGUGGAAGCGUCUGGAAAGGCGCGCGAUACAGGGUGACAGCCCCGUACACAAAAAUGCACAUGCUGUGAGCUCGAUGAGUAGGGCGGGACACGUGGUAUCCUGUCUGAAUAUGGGGGGACCAUCCUCCAAGGCUAAAUACUCCUGACUGACCGAUAGUGAACCAGUACCGUGAGGGAAAGGCGAAAAGAACCCCGGCGAGGGGAGUGAAAAAGAACCUGAAACCGUGUACGUACAAGCAGUGGGAGCACGCUUAGGCGUGUGACUGCGUACCUUUUGUAUAAUGGGUCAGCGACUUAUAUUCUGUAGCAAGGUUAACCGAAUAGGGGAGCCGAAGGGAAACCGAGUCUUAACUGGGCGUUAAGUUGCAGGGUAUAGACCCGAAACCCGGUGAUCUAGCCAUGGGCAGGUUGAAGGUUGGGUAACACUAACUGGAGGACCGAACCGACUAAUGUUGAAAAAUUAGCGGAUGACUUGUGGCUGGGGGUGAAAGGCCAAUCAAACCGGGAGAUAGCUGGUUCUCCCCGAAAGCUAUUUAGGUAGCGCCUCGUGAAUUCAUCUCCGGGGGUAGAGCACUGUUUCGGCAAGGGGGUCAUCCCGACUUACCAACCCGAUGCAAACUGCGAAUACCGGAGAAUGUUAUCACGGGAGACACACGGCGGGUGCUAACGUCCGUCGUGAAGAGGGAAACAACCCAGACCGCCAGCUAAGGUCCCAAAGUCAUGGUUAAGUGGGAAACGAUGUGGGAAGGCCCAGACAGCCAGGAUGUUGGCUUAGAAGCAGCCAUCAUUUAAAGAAAGCGUAAUAGCUCACUGGUCGAGUCGGCCUGCGCGGAAGAUGUAACGGGGCUAAACCAUGCACCGAAGCUGCGGCAGCGACGCUGAUGCGUUGUUGGGUAGGGGAGCGUUCUGUAAGCCUGCGAAGGUGUGCUGUGAGGCAUGCUGGAGGUAUCAGAAGUGCGAAUGCUGACAUAAGUAACGAUAAAGCGGGUGAAAAGCCCGCUCGCCGGAAGACCAAGGGUUCCUGUCCAACGUUAAUCGGGGCAGGGUGAGUCGACCCCUAAGGCGAGGCCGAAAGGCGUAGUCGAUGGGAAACAGGUUAAUAUUCCUGUACUUGGUGUUACUGCGAAGGGGGGACGGAGAAGGCUAUGUUGGCCGGGCGACGGUUGUCCCGGUUUAAGCGUGUAGGCUGGUUUUCCAGGCAAAUCCGGAAAAUCAAGGCUGAGGCGUGAUGACGAGGCACUACGGUGCUGAAGCAACAAAUGCCCUGCUUCCAGGAAAAGCCUCUAAGCAUCAGGUAACAUCAAAUCGUACCCCAAACCGACACAGGUGGUCAGGUAGAGAAUACCAAGGCGCUUGAGAGAACUCGGGUGAAGGAACUAGGCAAAAUGGUGCCGUAACUUCGGGAGAAGGCACGCUGAUAUGUAGGUGAAGCGACUUGCUCGUGGAGCUGAAAUCAGUCGAAGAUACCAGCUGGCUGCAACUGUUUAUUAAAAACACAGCACUGUGCAAACACGAAAGUGGACGUAUACGGUGUGACGCCUGCCCGGUGCCG